This 269-nucleotide unclassified non-coding RNA is filed under the name Hevea brasiliensis (rubber tree). Lineage: Eukaryota; Viridiplantae; Streptophyta; Magnoliopsida; Malpighiales; Euphorbiaceae. The record is from RNAcentral.
ACUUAUGGAAGUAUAGAGAAACAAAUUUUCUGCCUUUAAUUCAAGAGUGAUAACUUCAAAUUUCUCUUAAAUUAAUCAUAAGAAAGAAGAGAUGAGAGAAUUGGCUUGAGAGAAAAAGUGAAGAAGAAGAAAAGAUUAACAAAACUUAAUCUUCCAUUCUCUAACUAUUAGAGAUAUUGAAUUCCUUUUAAGGUCAAUUAGUGGUUGACAACUAAUGAUUACCUCAUUUACAAGUGUUUACAUCUAAUUUUCCAAUUAGAUGUGUUUUA